GAUGAACGCUGGCGGCGUGCCUAAUACAUGCAAGUCGAGCGAACAGACGAGGAGCUUGCUCCUCUGACGUUAGCGGCGGACGGGUGAUUAACACGUGGAUAACCUACCUAUAAGACUGGGAUAACUUCGGGAAACCGGAGCUAAUACCGGAUAAUAUAUUGAACCGCAUGGUUCAUUAGUGAAAGACGGUUUUGCUGUCACUUAUACAUGGAUCCGCGCCGCAUUAGCUAGUUGGUAAGGUAACGGCUUACCAAGGCAACGAUGCGUAGCCGACCUGAGAGGGUGAUCGGCCACACUGGAACUGAGACACGGUCCAGACUCCUACGGGAGGCAGCAGUAGGGAAUCUUGCGCAAUGGGCGAAAGCCUGACGGAGCAACGCCGCGUGAGUGAUGAAGGUCUUCGGAUCGUAAAACUCUGUUAUUCGGGAAGAACAAAUGUGUAAGUAACUAUGCACGUCUUGACGGUACCUAAUCAGAAAGCCACGGCUAACUACGUG
This 497-nucleotide ribosomal RNA is filed under the name uncultured bacterium. RNAcentral's name for it is "partial 16S ribosomal RNA". It matches the Rfam family "Bacterial small subunit ribosomal RNA", at positions 28 to 507 of the family's 1533-position model. The record is from RNAcentral.